RNAcentral lists this ribosomal RNA (461 nucleotides) under uncultured Sphingobacteriales bacterium. RNAcentral's name for it is "bacterial SSU rRNA". It matches the Rfam family "Bacterial small subunit ribosomal RNA", at positions 920 to 1382 of the family's 1533-position model. Lineage: Bacteria; Pseudomonadati; Bacteroidota; Sphingobacteriia; Sphingobacteriales. The record is from RNAcentral.
CCCGCACAAGCGGUGGAGCAUGUGGUUUAAUUCGAUGAUACGCGAGGAACCUUACCGUGGGCUCAAAUGUAUGUUGACGUAUUCUGAAAGGGAUACUUCUUCGGACAAUAUACAAGGUGCUGCAUGGUUGUCGUCAGCUCGUGCCGUGAGGUGUCGGGUUAAGUCCCAUAACGAGCGCAACCCCUAUCAUUAGUUGCCAUCAGGUCAAGCUGGGGACUCUAAUGAAACUGCCUACGCAAGUAGUGAGGAAGGUGGGGAUGACGUCAAAUCAGCACGGCCCUUACGUCCAGGGCUACACACGUGCUACAAUGGCCGGUACAAAGGGCAGCUACCUGGUGACAGGAUGCUAAUCUCAAAAGCCGGUCUCAGUUCGGAUCGGAGUCUGCAACCCGACUCCGUGAAGUUGGAUUCGCUAGUAAUCGCGCAUCAGCCAUGGCGCGGUGAAUACGUUCCCGGGCCUU